AAGGGCACCACAAGAACGCGUGGAGCAUGUGGCUUAAUUUGACUCAACGCGGGAAAUCUUACCGGGUCCGGACACACUGAGGAUUGACAGGCAAUAUUAAUACUUUGCCUCGGCAUUGUAUUAUGUUAAAUAUGCUAGUCCUUUCAUGAUUAUGUGAUAGGUGGUGCAUGGCGUUCUUAGUUCGUGGAGUGAUCUGUCUGCUUAAUUGCGUUUCACUAAGGGCCUAUAAAUUUACGUAUGUUGUAUCGCACUUUGACCCCUUUCUUUAAUUAGAAAGCGCGUGUCUUAGUUUCGCUUUGCUCAUACAAUUAGGUCCUGAAAGCAACGAACGUGACCGCAACCUCUUGUUGCCUUUAUACCAAACAUGUUUAUUCAUUUUUUAAUGUUCAUUCAUGAAAAAAGGCUUUUUAAACUAGAGGGACCGCUGUUACUUUCUUAAACCAGAGGAAGGUUGCGGCAAUAACAGGUCUGUGAUGCCCUUAGAUGUUCCGGGCUGCACACGUGCUACAAUGAUUAUUGCAGUGAGCAUCUCAUUUUUACACACCGCAUGCGCGAGUCCAUUUAUUCACCUUCGGGUGUUUUAAAUGUGUACCUCUGCGCGCGGUAAAGCCUGCUUCGAAAGUAAGUGGGUAAUCAAUUAGAAGUAAUGAUUUCCUUUUUUAGCACACAUAUAUACGGCGUCUAUGCCCGGGUUACCUUGUUGUAGCUUUUGUGUGUAUAGAUGUUUUUUCCGUAUGUGCGAUUGUCAAUUCAUGGUGGGGACAGACCAUUGUUAAUUGUUGGUCUCGGUCUUAACUAGGAAUGCCUUGUACGGGUCUUUGGUUCAACAAACCACCCGGAAUACGUCCCUGCCCUUUGUACACACCGCCCGUCGCUCUUACCGAUGGACUUCUCUGUGAGUUUGAGGGACUGGGAACGCAGGAAUUUAUUUCUGCACACCUAUGGAAACUUAAAUGAACAGUGUGGUCUAAAGGAAAGAGAAGUCGAACAAGGCA
This 995-nucleotide ribosomal RNA is filed under the name Cibicidoides wuellerstorfi. RNAcentral describes it as "SSU rRNA". It matches the Rfam family "Eukaryotic small subunit ribosomal RNA", at positions 1160 to 1801 of the family's 1831-position model. Lineage: Eukaryota; Foraminifera; Rotaliida; Anomalinidae. The record is from RNAcentral.